Molecule: ribosomal RNA, 779 nt
Filed under: uncultured bacterium
Lineage: Bacteria
Description: bacterial SSU rRNA
Rfam family: Bacterial small subunit ribosomal RNA
Source: RNAcentral
UNGGAAUUACUGGGCGUAAAGCGAGCGCAGACGGUUUAUUAAGCAAGAUGUGAAAUUCCCGAGCUUAACUUGGGAACUGCGUUUUGAACUGGUAAGCUAGAGUAUGUCAGAGGGGGGUAGAAUUNCACGUGUAGCAGUGAAAUGCGUAGAGAUGUGGAGGAAUACCGAUGGCGAAGGCAGCCCCCUGGGAUAAUACUGACGUUCAUGCUCGAAAGCGUGGGUAGCAAACAGGAUUAGAUACCCUGGUAGUCCACGCCCUAAACGAUGUCAAUUAGCUGUUGGGGCACUUGAUGCCUUAGUAGCGAAGCUAACGCGUGAAAUUGACCGCCUGGGGAGUACGGUCGCAAGAUUAAAACUCAAAGGAAUUGACGGGGACCCGCACAAGCGGUGGAUGAUGUGGAUUAAUUCGAUGCAACGCGAAGAACCUUACCUGGUCUUGACAUGUACGGAAUCUUCCAGAGACGGAAGAGUGCCUUCGGGAGCCGUAACACAGGUGCUGCAUGGCUGUCGUCAGCUCGUGUCGUGAGAUGUUGGGUUAAGUCCCGCAACGAGCGCAACCCUUGUCAUUAGUUGCCACCAUUCAGUUGGGCACUCUAAUGAGACUGCCGGUGACAAACCGGAGGAAGGUGGGGAUGACGUCAAGUCCUCAUGGCCCUUAUGACCAGGGCUUCACACGUCAUACAAUGGUCGGUACAGAGGGUAGCCAAGCCGCGAGGUGGAGCCAAUCUCAGAAAACCGAUCGUAGUCCGGAUUGCACUCUGCAACUCGAGUGCAUGAAG